This 322-nucleotide ribosomal RNA is filed under the name uncultured bacterium. RNAcentral describes it as "bacterial SSU rRNA". It matches the Rfam family "Bacterial small subunit ribosomal RNA", at positions 28 to 350 of the family's 1533-position model. The record is from RNAcentral.
GACGAACGCUGGCGGCGUGCUUAACACAUGCAAGUCGAGCGGUAAGGCCCUUUCGGGGGGUACACGAGCGGCGAACGGGUGAGUAACACGUGGGUGACCUGCCCUCAGUUCUGGGAUAAGCCUGGGAAACCGGGUCUAAUACCGGAUAUGACUCCAUGACGCAUGUUGUGGGGUGGAAAGCCUUGUGCGGCUGAGGAUGGGCCCGCGGCCUAUCAGCUUGUUGGUGGGGUGANGGCCUACCAAGGCGACGACGGGUAGCCGGCCUGAGAGGGCGACCGGCCACACUGGGACUGAGACACGGCCCAGACUCCUACGGGAGGCA